UACGGAGGGGGCUAGCGUUGUUCGGAAUUACUGGGCGUAAAGCGCGCGUAGUCGGCUUUGUAAGUUAGAGGUGAAAGCCCGGAGCUCAACUCCGGAACUGCCUUUAAGACUGCAUCGCUAGAAUUGUGGAGAGGUGAGUGGAAUUCCGAGUGUAGAGGUGAAAUUCGUAGAUAUUCGGAAGAACACCAGUGGCGAAGGCGACUCACUGGACACAUAUUGACGCUGAGGUGCGAAAGCGUGGGGAGCAAACAGG
RNAcentral lists this ribosomal RNA (253 nucleotides) under uncultured bacterium. RNAcentral describes it as "partial 16S ribosomal RNA". It matches the Rfam family "Bacterial small subunit ribosomal RNA", at positions 524 to 776 of the family's 1533-position model. The record is from RNAcentral.